GCAGGAGUAGCAAAGCCUGGUCAAAUGCGCAGGACUUAAGAUCCUGUGGCUUAGUGUCUUCGAAGGUUCGAAUCCUUCCUCCUGCA
This 86-nucleotide transfer RNA is filed under the name Microcaldota archaeon. RNAcentral describes it as "tRNA-Leu". It matches the Rfam family "tRNA". From Rfam's summary of the family: Transfer RNA (tRNA) molecules are approximately 80 nucleotides in length. Their secondary structure includes four short double-helical elements and three loops (D, anti-codon, and T loops). The record is from RNAcentral. Lineage: Archaea; Nanobdellati; Microcaldota.